Molecule: long non-coding RNA, 661 nt
Organism: Xiphophorus hellerii (green swordtail)
Lineage: Eukaryota; Metazoa; Chordata; Actinopteri; Cyprinodontiformes; Poeciliidae
Exons: 2
Source: RefSeq, a predicted model, not a curated record
AUUAAACUAAAACCAGUAACUACAAACUGUGUCUUAGUGCAAAAAGCAAACAAUGACAUUUAUCCCUGCUGCUGCAUCUGAGUAAUAUCUUUGUACACAUGCUUUGUUUUAUCUGUACAUCAUCACAUUUUAAAAUAUAUUUUUUAAGUGGGAAUAAAAAAUACAUUAAAAAAUAAGGGAAAUUAUUGUCUGCGGUAGUGAACUGAACAAUUACAGUGUAUAUGAGACACUUGUUGAUGGUCUAAGAUAUAGGCAGAAAUUUAGCCAUUUCAUGGUUUUCACCAUCUAUCGAUUGAGAAAUCAAUAGAUGUAACCUGAUCUCUGGCCUUAAAAUAAAAAAAGGAAGGAGUUUUGGAAUUAAGGUUGGAAGGAGGAUUGAAGAAGUGAUGGAAGGAAGGUUGGGAUUAGGGUUGGGAUGAGAGUUGAAAGGGGUGGAAUUAAGGUUGGAACAAGGGUUGAAAUUAGAGUUUGAAGGAGAGUUGAUAUUAGGUAAGUUGUAGAAUAUGUUAAUACCUCAAAACAUGUUCAUAAUGUCCUGAAUGAGCAGAAUAUGGUAAAGGGUUGAAAUAGCACAAAGUAUGCAGAUUUAAGAUGUAAAAAAGUGCACAGAAAAAAGUGGAAAAACUCACUUUUUAUUAUAAUGAUAUUUAUAAUAAUGAUG